CUACCGCUGUAAUAAUGCUGCGCGCGGUGAUGGCGGGGCGGCGGUUCGGUUCUGCGGGGUUCGGGCUGCUGCUGCUGCUUCUGUCGCUUUGCGCGGCCGGUUCCGCAGAACCAGGAGAGCUCAGGUCCAACGACAGGCCGUACGAGGUGCUAAAGAGCCAGAAUUUAGUUCUGUUCAUCAGUGUUCUGUCUAUACUCCUGCUGGCGAUGCUCAUCAUGGCUGUAUGUGUGUAUAAACCCCUGCGGCGGCGAUGACGGUGAGAGAGAGUACCGGGACACAGAGCUUUACCGACUGAUGUCCUGCGUCCCUUCCCAGGAGCGUGAAGACGACGUCCUCCUGCUGCAGUAACAUGACUCUGAUUCACCAGUACGCUCCAGUCCGAUCCGGUCGAUGAAUGGUGUAUAAUUGCACACUUUCACACAUAAGAGAAACCUAAUCAAUAGCAGUAGUAGUAUUUCUACUGCUUUGCUUUAGCUGGGUUCACUAGUCCUGUAUCUGGAAGUCCCUUUACAUGAUCCACAUUUUUGAUUAGAAAUAGGGUGCAUAAUUUGUGAUUAGAUCAGUGAGAAAAUGUAAUAAUGAAUAAUUCACAUUAGUAUGUGAAAAAUCACAAUAGGAGAGUCAAAUAAUUGUUUUAAAUUAAUUAAAAGUGUGGUUUAGCUGUUUAAAAUCAGUUAGAACUUCAAACAAGUAGAUAAAAAGAUGGAAUAGGAUGUUAGACUAUUUAGACAAUCAGUUAUAGCUUUAAGAAUUAUUGCAGUAUUAUUAAGCAUCUGAUUUUAGCAUAAAUCAAUGAAGAAUUAGUUUAUAAAAUAAAAAAAUACAUUUGUCACUGACAAAAAUGAACAAGUCAAUGUCAUUAAUACAUAAAUAGUUUAUAUUAUAAUCUGAUUUAAACCACAAACAUACUAGCAUGAGUCCCCUCCCACUCAAAGAAAUAUAUAUCGCUACCUCACUAAGCAUCAUAAAUUACUAUGAAUAUAAAAACUCUGAUUACAAUCAUAAUUGUGUAUUCACUAUACAAUCUAUCCCCAUACUCUGGUAAAUUCCUGAACAGUCAGUUCCACUGCCCACCUUCACAAGUUCAGUAUUUCUAGAAUUAAAAAUACUCAUUAGUCACGGAGUUAAAUGCACUGGAUGUCCGAUAUAUCACCCAGGUCUAGGCCAAACUCACUAUAAAGAAAAAUCUUCUCUGAAAUGCCACACUAGCAGAUCUCUACUCUGAACACACCUGUACAGGCAUUCAGAUUAUACAGAAAUGUGGACUGCGGGCUGCAGAUGCUGGAUUAAAAGACUUCUGUGUAACACUCCCUAAAGUAUAUAAAUCAUAUAAAGAGUUACUGUUCUACUGGUUGUACACUGUAGCCCAACAACCUGCUGAAUAUACACUACUGAAUUAGUUUUAUUUAUUUUAUAUUGAUUGAUUUUUUCAAAGCUGCUAAAUGAUUUUUUUAUACAGUGUAUUACCUGCACUUUGAUUUGAAGUGAUUGUUCUCCGUUCUCAUGAAUGUCAUGUUCAGUAUUUAUUGUCAGAUGAUUUUUUGAUGAUUUAUUUUCUAGGAUUGAUCCUGCGUUUCUUGAAUUUUGAAAUGAGAAUAAAAUUUAAUUUCAGUAAA
Molecule: RNA transcript, 1616 nt
Organism: Astyanax mexicanus (Mexican tetra)
Lineage: Eukaryota; Metazoa; Chordata; Actinopteri; Characiformes; Acestrorhamphidae
Exons: 2
Source: RefSeq, a predicted model, not a curated record